GAGCAAUAGAAGUUGAAAAAAAUCACUGUGAACUACUUACAGUAAAAAUGAAAAAAAUGGAAAAUGAGGUCCAUGUACUACAAAAGGAGUUAUCUGAAACAACAGAAAUAAAAUUACAGUUAGAACAUCAAAAUGAUGAAUGGGAACGAGAUUUCUACAGUUUGAGAUCUACCUUAAGACAAGAAGAAGAGAAGAGAAAAAAUGCCAAUGCAUUGUAUGAAAAAAUCAGGGGACACUUAAGAAGAAAAGAAGAGCAGUACAGGAAAGAAGUUGAAGCAAACAAACAACUUCAGCUGACGCUGAGAACACGAGAUACGGAAUUGAGGACAGUAAGAAAUCAUUUGAACCAGGUUGUACAAGAGCUAAAUGACACCCAGAGGCAACUUUCUCGGGAACAGAACGCCAGAAUAUUACAAGAUGAAAUUCUGACCAAUCACCUUUGCAAACAAAAGGAGAUAGCACUGGC
Molecule: long non-coding RNA, 466 nt
Filed under: Pan troglodytes (chimpanzee)
Lineage: Eukaryota; Metazoa; Chordata; Mammalia; Primates; Hominidae
Description: long non-coding RNA NONPTRT004410
Source: RNAcentral